GGUGGGUAAACUUCAUUCAUUGAGAUGAAAGCCAAUCUCGUCCUUCAAGAAAUCCUCCUUGCGGUGCAGAGACAUGUUACAGAUUUGGCAUUGCACUCGCGGCAGGAAUCCUCUCCCACAGCCACUGGAUGAAGGUCGACCACUACGGACAGAGCCCUCUAGUGUUUGCGAGGAGCUCCCUCAACGAGAUUAGCAUGCAAGGCCACCUCUUGAAUCGCUCGUACCUGAAGAUUCUCACACUCAACCAAGGCAUCGACAAGCUUCUGAAAUGACACUGGCUCAGACAAAACAGACACUGAGGAGACAAUGGCAUCAAAUUUAGGAGGCAAUCCAGCAAGCAUUAUUUCUAUCUUCUCAGUCUCGGGAAUACGAGUACCUGAGGCUUCCAAAAGUGCACAAAAAUUCUUUGUGUGAGCAACAUAAUCUUUUAUCGAAAGCAUACCUUUCUUUAAGGAAUGAAGUUCAUGACGAAUCCUAGAUUUUUUAGCACCAGUGUCGGUGUGAACAGACUUGUUGUCGUAGUCCAUACAUCGCAGGCUGGUUUAACAUCUGUGAAGGAAGUCAACAAAGAGUCGUUUAUCGUGGAAAGAAACUACGAAGCGAGGAACUGAUCUUGUUGCUUGAAGACCAGCGCGAACGCAUUAGGAGUAAGGGAACCAUCCAGUGAUUAAAUAAACCUCACCGGUGGAGGUAAGGUCUCGUCUAGAAAUCCUAUCAAACCAUAUCCACGUAAUAUUAAGCAUACCUAUUGUUGCCAUUGACUGAAAUUUCCUUCAUCAUGUUUCACAAGAUCAUACCGAGGGAAUGAGUUUACAACUUUUUCAGCAGUGAAAAGAGCACAACCACCAGAAACUAAGGCAGAUUCAGCUGAGUCCGUGACAGCCAUAACACCGAGGAUCACAAGGCGACUGAUACCAUGCUAGAAGGUAUGCAUAAGCAGUACUUAGUGUAGCUAGACAUCUAUUCUGAUAUUUGAGAGAGAAAGGGAAGAAACAAUUCUAUUUCUGUAUCUUGAAUGAAUACCUGACUUAGUUCAUUUGUACAUAUAGUAUAUAUAGAAAACUCGGAUAGCUGCUUUUAAACCAACUCUUCAAAAAAUGCUAGUUGUAUUAACAGCUUCUUGCUGCUCUUAAAC
RNAcentral lists this long non-coding RNA (1135 nucleotides) under Gossypium barbadense (sea-island cotton). RNAcentral describes it as "long non-coding RNA (GBAR_LNC007488)". The record is from RNAcentral. Lineage: Eukaryota; Viridiplantae; Streptophyta; Magnoliopsida; Malvales; Malvaceae.